RNAcentral lists this ribosomal RNA (430 nucleotides) under Bacteroidota bacterium. RNAcentral describes it as "Bacteroidetes bacterium partial 16S ribosomal RNA". It matches the Rfam family "Bacterial small subunit ribosomal RNA", at positions 355 to 776 of the family's 1533-position model. Lineage: Bacteria; Pseudomonadati; Bacteroidota. The record is from RNAcentral.
UAGGGAAUCUUCGGCAAUGGGGGGAACCCUGACCGAGCAACGCCGCGUGAGUGAAGAAGGUUUUCGGAUCGUAAAGCUCUGUUGUUAAGGAAGAACGAGUGUGAGAAUGGAAAGUUCAUGCUGUGACGGUACUUAACCAGAAAGGGACGGCUAACUACGUGCCAGCAGCCGCGGUAAUACGUAGGUCCCGAGCGUUGUCCGGAUUUAUUGGGCGUAAAGCGAGCGCAGGCGGUCAAUUAAGUCUGAUGUGAAAGCCCCCGGCUCAACCGGGGAGGGUCAUUGGAAACUGGUUGACUUGAGUGCAGAAGGGGAGAGUGGAAUUCCAUGUGUAGCGGUGAAAUGCGUAGAUAUAUGGAGGAACACCGGUGGCGAAAGCGGCUCUCUGGUCUGUAACUGACGCUGAGGCUCGAAAGCGUGGGGAGCGAACAGG